This 1718-nucleotide long non-coding RNA is filed under the name Homo sapiens (human). RNAcentral's name for it is "HSALNT0316370". The record is from RNAcentral. Lineage: Eukaryota; Metazoa; Chordata; Mammalia; Primates; Hominidae.
CUUGCUCUUCAAACUAAGAUAAGCUAAUAACUUUGGACACAAUUUCACUCCUCUGCAUUCACCAAAUGUCCAAUUACAUAUCCUCCCUGCCUGGACCUUCAGAACAAUAUAAAACUGAAUGAAGGCUAUGAAAGAAGUCACAGGAGGAUUUUUGCAGAGCUUCCAUCCAGUUCAGAAACAAAGCAAUUCAAUACAUGUCUUCAAGAUUUCUAAAGGCAAUGACUUAAUUCUAAGUUCCAUGAAAGCAGGCAUUGUGUGAAUUUCUCCUGCAUCUGGAACUGGCCUAGCACACCAAGAAAGGAACACCAGUAAGAAAGAAUAUGACAGAGUUACCUGUCGAUCCAUCUUUCUCAGAAUGUACUGCAUUCUUUCUACAUUGGAAACAAGUUCUGGUUUGAUUGAAAAGUGUGGCCUCUGAAGAUUGUUGGUACCCUCAUUUAGUUAGAAGCUUAAUAAGGUAACUGUGAUAGUUUGAAUGUUUGUCCCCUCCAAAACCCACAUUGAAAUUUAAUUGUCAUUGUAACCGUAUGAAGAGGUAGGACCUAUAAGAGGUGAUUAGAUCAUGAAUAGACCAUGCCAUUAUCACAGGAUUGUGUUCCUUAUCAUGAAAGUGGAUUUACUCCCUAUUGCUCUCUCUCUUGCCCCCUUUUGCUCUUCUGCCUUCCACCAUGGGGUGGACUUACCAAUAGGGCCUUCACUAGAUACUGGCCUUUUGACUUUGGACUUUCCAGCCUACAGACUGGUAAGCUAAUAAAUUUCUGUUCUUUAUUGAUUACCCAGUGCGUGGUGUUCUGUUACAGCAACACAAAACAGAUUAAUACACUUACCUUGUACUUACUGUGAAUCUCGCUAAAUUCCCAAAAAUCGUGGGUUCACUAGAACUUUGUGAUUGUGGGGUGUUAUGAACACCAAAUGCAAUAAUACACUGUAAAUUUAUAUAAUGCAUUUGGAAAGCAAGCUGUCGAUACUAUAAAAAGACAUUUAAAAAUCUGCUCUUAAUUCAGGAGUCUUAAUUUCUUGGAAAUGUAGCAUAAAGAAAUAUUGAAACAAAAGUAGAAAGCUAUAUGUACAAAAUUGUUUUUUACUGUAUUAAUUAUCCAAUAUUAGUGGAAACUAGAAUGAAUCACUGUCCAAUGAAGUAAUUAAAUAUUAUACAAUCAUGAAAAUAGCAAAAAGCAUAUGUAAAAUCAUGGUAGCAUGUUAAGUAAGUCAAAAUCUUAAUAAAAAUUAACACACACUGGGAUUAGAGCUGUGUAAAAUUAUGAAUGCUUUUGGAUAAAUAUCAUUGGGGAACACAUGAAAAAUAGAAAAGUUAUUCCAGGUAAUAGGAUCAUAUUAAAUUUGUUUCCAUUUUGCUGAACAUUCUCUAAUAUUGACUUUUUGUGGUAAAACAAACACAUAAACCAAAAAUUCAAGAGGCUUUCUGAAAUAAUUAUAGUCAAAUGUAUGGCAUUUGGAAUUGAGACUCAGGUUGGAGACCUGGCUCUCUUAUUUAUAUUUUUAUUUUUAUGUGAUUUAUAUUUAUAUUUAUCAUUUAUAUUUAUGUGAUUGUAGAUCAGUAACUUAAUUUUGUGAACCUUAAAUUCAUCAUCAGUUAAAUAAAGAUUUCCACUAGCUUUUUAGAGUCAUGAGAUUAAGAUGAUGUAUGUGAAAGUGUGUCUUUAUUUAACUUUUAAGUUAAGGGGUAUGUGUGUGUUUGUUAUACAGGUAAACUUGUG